Molecule: non-coding RNA, 905 nt
Organism: Oncorhynchus mykiss (rainbow trout)
Lineage: Eukaryota; Metazoa; Chordata; Actinopteri; Salmoniformes; Salmonidae
Source: RefSeq, a predicted model, not a curated record
AUUAGUUCUUAACUGACUUGCCUAGUUAAAUGAAUAAAACAUAAAAAUGUAUUAGACUUUAGAAUUGUAUUGGGGGCAUACUGUCACGUCGGCAUAAAUUAUUCGGGAGACAGGUGUAGGAAUGCGUAACAGGGUUUUUUAUUGAUCCCAAAUUACAGCACGCCGUGUAAAGGCACGGGGACGAAGACCAGCAGCGCAAUGACAUCGGCCUCGAGGAUGAUCACAGGAACGCAGUGCUGGUCGAUCAGGACCUGAUGCAGCUGCCGAAGUUGCGUCAGUUGCGUCGUGGUCGGACCGGCCAGUUGCGCUGCCGAAGAUGCGGCGGCGUCGGACGGACCAGUAGCAGUGGCGACGGACGGGCCAGUUGUGGCUGCUGAAGUGGCGUCGUCGGACGGACCCAUUGUGGCGACGUCGUAUGGCCCAGUUGCAGCUGCGGAAGUUGUAGCGGCGCCAGAUGGACCAGUCGCAGUGUCAUCGGACAGGCCAUUCCCGCUGUCUCCCUUAAUGGCCGAUUAUUCUGCCACGUCGGCAUGAAUGAUUCAGGAGACAGGUGCAGGAAUGCACAUUUCAAGAUCCAGAGAAGAGGGUCCUGUACAGCUGUGUUUGAAAACAUUUCCCAGAACUCAGCAUGGUACUAGGAAGAGGGCUUUCAACAGCUCGUGGUAUAAGGACAAUUCAUGGCUUUAAUAUUCUGUAAGCCUGUUGGCAUUUUUCUCUGCCCUACACCUGAAUCUGUCUUCACAUCACAGGCAGGUUUUUGUAACUGAAAAAAGGCGCUGUUUAAAGAUUCUGGGUUUAAGCUCCAUUCGAAGGUAAGCAUCAUAUCAAUGCUAUGUAUGCUUGGAAUCAGCAUAAAAGGUCUAUUGACAGCAACUCAUCAAUGUUAGAUGUCAUAAAUGAGGACU